AAUUGUCUAGAAGAUACGAUAUUGUCAACAUAUAAAACCGACUAAAGUGACGAUACGGGAGUUUGGAUCAGUAGUUUGUGUUGAAUACCUAACCUUGUUAGGGCUCCUAAUAACUGCGUAUGAACACCCACCUGUGAUAUGUGCAGGUUUUAUCGCCAGACAAACGUUCUUUUGGACUUUUU
RNAcentral lists this non-coding RNA (182 nucleotides) under Bacillota bacterium. RNAcentral describes it as "6S RNA". It matches the Rfam family "6S / SsrS RNA". Rfam says of the family: E. coli 6S RNA was the first non coding RNA to be sequenced, but its function was unknown until recently. It consists of 184 nucleotides that fold into an extended hairpin structure with a large single-stranded internal bulge. The 6S RNA specifically associates with RNA polymerase holoenzyme containing the sigma70 specificity factor. The record is from RNAcentral. Lineage: Bacteria; Bacillati; Bacillota.